RNAcentral lists this long non-coding RNA (970 nucleotides) under Monodelphis domestica (gray short-tailed opossum). Its description in RNAcentral is "lncRNA (ENSMODG00000047290.1)". The record is from RNAcentral. Lineage: Eukaryota; Metazoa; Chordata; Mammalia; Didelphimorphia; Didelphidae.
GAUCCUUAGGGAAAGUCAAAGUGAGUAAAUAGUCCUCUGAAAAAUAAACUUCUUGCUCUUUCAAGCCCCAGGAUACCAUUUUUUAUGAAUGGCCAUCUUCCAGACUGGGGUGCCACUUUGCUCCUAGAGAACAGUUGAUCCUUGGAUGAGACUUCAUACAAGGAAAAAAUGGAGUUGAUGCAAACAGCUGGAUACCUUAACUUGAAAAACCAAGAAAGGCAGAAUGAGGAGCAAUAGAGAGGCCAAGUUCAUCUUAGUGUCAAGACAAACUUCUUAACAAUUAGGAGGAUCCUCAAAUGAAAUGGAUAAUUGCCCCAGGAGGUGUAUAAAGUUCUCCUUCAUUGAAGACCCUCAAGCAGAGGCUGAAUGACCACUUUCCAGAAAUUGUCCAUCUUGUUCUUUGCUGACUCCUUUGAAGAAUCCAUUUUCAAGAGCCCUCCCCCACAAAAAAGAAGAAACAAUUGGAAGCAGAAGGGAGUGACAACUUCCUGUGGAGAGUCUUCCUACUUUGGCUUCUUCUGGAGUUCUGAGUUCAAAUUGGAGGCUGGUGAAGAAUCUUCUGACUGGACCUGAAACCCUAUACAUGGUGAGAUUGUCCUUGAAUCUUUCCCCUUUGGACUGACACUUUGACUGAAGAAAAAUAUCAAUCUUACAUAAAAUUAGGAAUAAUUACAUGAUACAUGGUGAGUGAAAAAGAUUUACUCUUUUCCUGGAUUUUCUGAAGAGACUAGCCUCAGGAGAGAUCUAUCCUCUUGAGAGAGGCUUCCUGUAUCCCCAGGUCCUUGGCUACAAAGGCAGAGACAUCUCCAGUUAAGGACUAAACUCCCCUGCCUGUUUUUGAGCCAGGGGUUGGAACAAAAUACUUAGUUUUUAGGCUAGAUAUCUUACCCUUACUCUCUCUGAUUUUCUUACUUCACUCUUUCUAUAUUUUGUAAAUAAAUUGUAAAUAAAUCUCUUUGGAAUUAAUUAA